AUACGGGGGGGGCAAGCGUUGUUCGGAAUUACUGGGCGUAAAGGGCUCGUAGGCGGCCAACUAAGUCAGACGUGAAAUCCCUCGGCUUAACCGGGGAACUGCGUCUGAGACUGGAUGGCUCGAGUGUGGGAGAGGGAUGCGGAAUUCCAGGUGUAGCGGUGAAAUGCGUAGAUAUCUGGAGGAACAUCGGUGGCGAAGGCGGCAUCCUGGACCAUGACUGACGCUGAGGAGCGAAAGCCAGGGGAGCAAACGGGA
Molecule: ribosomal RNA, 255 nt
Filed under: uncultured prokaryote
Description: partial 16S ribosomal RNA
Rfam family: Bacterial small subunit ribosomal RNA
Source: RNAcentral